AUGGGAAAAUCCGUCCCUUCUUGGACCACUGCACUUCACAGCCUUGCACAUCCCAGUGAGGAUUCAGGAACUGGCUCAGUUACGAGGGUGAUUAGACCUUUGGGUACAUUCAUUACACAGGGACACACAGAAAGUGAGCUUUGGAUGAUGGCUCUUGGUAUUUUGGAAGUUUUAGACCCCGUUUGGAAAACCGGAAGAAAGCUAUGGAUCGUUUCCCCAUUAGAACCACCAUUUCUGAAGGUAGAGGGACAGCCUUUGGUUGUCAGGUCAGGAAGCCCUGAUCUAAAAGAUCAUCACCUUCACUUUGCUUUUGACCUUGCUCCAGCUUUACUGUCGCUUUCUGUCAACAGCUCUCUGUCACCUUUGAUUGGAGCACCAGAUAUUGAAGGGCACUUAGUGCCUUACUCAGGAACUGAAUCCACAAGUCCAGAGCUUUGUGAUGUCAUGGAGCAGAGAUUCUCUGCAAAGGGCCACCCCAUGGGUGCUAGCGAUCGCACUGUGCAAUGGUGGCCAUAACCUGAUUCCCAGUUUGUGCUCUGCUCUGCAGACCAACUGAUCAUAAUACUGACAAAUCAAGGUGGAAUCAUAACAUUUUAUCUGACACUAUCACAUGUAGCAAAUGAAAGUUGGUGAAAAAAAACAGCAGGAGGUAGGUACUGGCUUGGCUAGAUUGUUUCUCACAUAACCUCUGUGAGACCACUUCCCAUUCAUAAGGAAGCACUUUUUCCUAAUAGUCUAGGACCUAGACAGGAUAUUUGCAUUUGUAUUUUGCUCCCUGCAUCAUCAAUAUUAUUAGUAAUACUUUUUCAGUGCCUGCUGUGUGCUAGGCAUUAUGUUAAAUGUUUUACAUGCAUGAUUUCAUUAAUUUCCAUAACUUCAGGAGUUCCCUUGUGGCUCCUGCUGGUUAAGAAUCCAGUGUUGUCUCUGUGGAAGCUUGAGUUUCUACUGAAGUGUGGGUUUGAUCCCCAGCCGGGGAACUUCCAUAUGCUGUGGGUAUGGCCAAAAAAACAUUUUUUUUUUCCUAAACUUCAGUUUGGUGAGAUACUGAUAUUGGCCCAGUUUUAUGGAUAAGACUGAAAUUUAGAAAGACAGAGGAACUACUAAAUGUUACCUAUCCAUCAGAUGGUGGAGCCAGGACUGGAAUGUAUUCUUUCAGCCACCCUGCUGUAUUGAGAGCUGUUAUUUUAGCCUCCUCUCUCUUCCUCUUGCCUUCUUUCAAUUAUUGAAAUGGAUUUGGUGUUUAGAAUUAGAUCCGAUGUAGAUAUUAUUGACCUCAUGUCUCUCACAUGGUUUGUGAUUUGGCGUAGCCAAGUUUCAGAUCUUUUUUUUCUUUCUUUCUUCUUUCCUUUGGCAUCCUGAGUUGGUGCCAGUUUCUGUGACUGUGAUGAACCUCUUGGCUCUGAGUUACUGAGGGACCUCAGAACAGGCCGAGGGUUGUUUCCCUUUAUAUGAAAUAUAUAACGAAAUCUGUAUUACCCUGCUCCUCAAUAGCUGCCUUGUCUGUGUGCACCUUGCG
RNAcentral lists this long non-coding RNA (1516 nucleotides) under Sus scrofa (pig). RNAcentral describes it as "lncRNA (ENSSSCG00055007997.1)". Lineage: Eukaryota; Metazoa; Chordata; Mammalia; Artiodactyla; Suidae. The record is from RNAcentral.